Long non-coding RNA from Neopelma chrysocephalum (saffron-crested tyrant-manakin), 579 nucleotides. RefSeq lists it as uncharacterized. The transcript has 4 exons. Lineage: Eukaryota; Metazoa; Chordata; Aves; Passeriformes; Pipridae. The record is from RefSeq and is a predicted model, not a curated record.
AGCUGUUUCUGACCUAAUUGAUCAAAAAUGCUUUUCUUCUGGAAACAGUGCAAAAUGUCUUCUUUACAAGGCAAAUGACUGUGGGGACUGGUGAGAGAGACAAAGAAAGGGUCAUUAUGGUGAAGGAAAUAUUUUUAUCUAGGCCUCAGGAAACGGUGGUCUGGCUAGUGACUGCAGUGCUGCGGACGGUUACAUGCACAGUAUUCGCUCAGGGCAAAGCAUGCCAUCACUUAUGUCUGCCCCUAAACUCCUGGAGUACAAGAACUAAUGUCAAUAUCCACCUGGAAAUAGCUAGCGAGGAAGGACUGUGGAAGCUACUACCCUGAAACAACCUUUCAAACUCAAGUGAGGGAAAAAAGUACUGCUGGGAGAAGAAGCAAACCGUGAAACUGGACAAAGAUGGUUGCAUAUAAUGAUUCAGGUACACUUUAUAACUUAUAAUUGUCACAUCAUAUCACCAAUCUUUCUGCCUGCCAGAGAGGAUGUUUUCUCAUCAAAGACCUUGGAAUAACUGUACCCAUCACCAGUUAGUCUUGGCAACAGCUCUGCCACAUGGAGAAGUCACCUUAUCAACAUUAU